AUAUUGAGAUCCUGAGCAUUGGCCUGACCCCACAGAGCAACAUUUCGAGUUCACCACCGAGCACAUGGAGGGCCCCCGCCCCCUCCACUCCUGUGGGAUGCUCCAUGUGCCCCAGCCUCGCAGCAAUCACAAGCUACACCUGCUACCUCUCAAGGUUAAGCUUUAAACCAGCAUUGACAUAGAGCUGCAUGGGAACAAAUGAAAUAUUCAGGAAGCAAGGAGAAGGGCAUGACAGCAAAAGGUUUUUCAUGUAUUGGACACUGAAUACAGAGGAGCUACAGUAUAGCCAGAACACCAUCAUCCUGCUAAUUCUGUAUUACAGAAGGGAACAAGUGAGCAAAGCAAUGAAAUAUGUGGGGAGCCAGAGGAAAAGCAAGGGCAACAUUGGACCUCUGCUGAACCAGAUGGGACAACUGACAACUGACACCCAGGAAAAAGCCAACCUAUUAAAUGGGUAUUUUGUGUCGGUCUUUCUUCAGUCCCAUGGGAUGCCCAUGCCCACUAUGGGACAGGGAGGUCUGUAUGAGGUCCCUUGCCCUCCAUCAAUGCUGACCUCAUAAAGGAACACCUUGAGAGGCUGGAUACCUUCAAGUCAGCUGGCCCUGACAAUCUAUACCCCAGGGUACUCAAGGAGCUGGUGAACAUCAUAGCCCAGCCUCUGGCACAGAUCUUUGAGAACUCCUGGCGCUCUGGUGUAGUGCCUGAAGACUGGAAGAAGGCCAAUGUGGUGCCUAUCUUCAAGAAAGGGAGGAAAGUGGAUCUGGAAAACUAUAGGCCCAUCAGCCUGACUUCUAUCCCGGGGAAGAUCUUAGAAAAGUUUAUUAAAGAGGCCAUCCUUAAUGGACUGGCCAACACCAACAUCUUGGGGGAUAGCCAGUAUAGGUUUGUUGCAGGUAGGUCUUGCUUGAUCAAUCUCAUUUCCUUUUAUGACCAGGUGACCUAUCACCUGGAUAAGGGAGAAUAGAUUGAUGUCAUAUAUCUUAACUUCAAAAAAAGCCUUCGAUCUGGUAUCCCAUGAUCGCCUCUUGGUGAAACUGGCCAAUUGUGACCUUGGGUCCACCACGAUAUGCUGGCUGGGAAAUUGGCUCCGUGGUCAGACCCAGAGGGUGGUAAUUGAUGGAAGUCAAUUGUCAUGGUGCCCUAUGACCAGUGGGGUCCCCCAAGGCUCUGUCCUUGGACCCAUAUUGUUCAACAUCUUCAUUAAUGAUGUGGACAUUGGAGUCAGACUGAAGUGGACUGGCCAAGUUCACAGAUGACACAAAACUUUGGGGCAAAGAGUCCACACCUGAAGACAGGAGGGCGAUCCAGGCUGACCUGGACAAACUCAGCAAAUGGGCGGAUGAGAAUCUGAUAGUGUUUAACACUGAAAAAUGCAAGGUUCUCCACCUUAGGAGGAAAAACCUGCAGCAUCCUUAAAGGCUCAGCAGUGCUACGCUGGCUAGUACUAUGGAAGAAAGAGACUUAGGGGUCAUCAUUGACCAUCAUUUAUCAAGAUGAACAUGAGCCUGCAAUGCGAUUCUGUGGCUAAUAAAGUGACCAAAAUGAUGGCUUGCAUCCAUAGAUGCUUCUCAAGCAAAUCCCGGAACAUCAUUCUCCCCUUGUACUCGACCUUGGUGAGGCCGCAGCUGGAGUACUGCGUCCAGUUUUGGACCCCACAAUUCAAAAAGGGUGUGGAGAAACUUGAGAGAGUGCAGAGAAGAGCCACGCACAUGAUCAGAGGUCAGGAAAACAGACCUUACGAUGACAGGCUGAGAUCUAUGAGGCUCUUUAGCCUGGAAAGGCGCAGGCUCAGGGGUGAUCUGAUAAGUUUAUCAGGGGUGACCACCAGUAUCUGGGGGAACAUUUGUUCACCAGAGCGCCCCAAGUGAUGAUGAGGUUGAACGGUUAUAAACUACUGCAAGACCAUUUCAGGCUGGACAUAAGGAAGAAUUUCUUUACUGUCCGAACCCCCAAGGUCUGGAAUAGCCUGCCAUCGGAGGUGGUUCAAGCACCUACAUUGAACACCUUCAAGAGUAAAUUGGAUGCUUAUCUUGCUGGCCUCCUAUGACCACUGCUGACUUCCUGCCCUUCGGUCAGGGGGCUAGACUCGAUGAUGUUCCAAGGUCCCUUCCAGCCCUAAUGUCUAUGAAAUCUAUGAAUAAGACUUAAAAAAAAAAAAAAAGAUUCUUUACAUAAAUAGAUACUGUAUUAAUUUAUUCCAAAUGAAAUAAAUGUUCAAAAAAUUAUCAUUACACCUGUACAAUCACUUUUGAAUUUUACUCAGUUUUCACUUUCAUCAUCAGAUUCACUUUACCCUGCCCAUUUACUGCCAUAAUCCUAAUUCUUAUUGCAUUCUCUUGACAGAGGUUUAAUGGGGUCAACAGCGGUCCUUUCAAGAAUUGGAGGUUUUCAGCCUAAAAAAGCUGAAUAAGCAGUCAAAAAUUGGUAGUUCAUGAGUCACGUAAGUGACAUGCUACUAUUCUCCACUAUUACCUCUUCAUGCUUGUGAGAUCAGGGUGAAUUGGAGUCCAGUCUGAUUGUAAAAUUAUAUACAGGAUACUGCUGUGCUAUGACAGCAAGUGUUAGCAGCUUCCUUCUUUGUGAAGCCCAGUGGGGUUGUAUCACUUCUCACUGAAUGUGGCCUAAGGUGCUACACAUGGAAAGACUCUCACAUGGAAAGACUUCUUCUGUGGCUCUCAUAAUAUGUUCCAGACUUUUUAUGAACAUAAACAUUCCUAAAGCUAUUGUUACCCAAAGGUGAUUUCUAUUGCUAAGUAGCCCUGAUGCAUGCAGAGUGGAAGCAACACUAGUGCCAUUUUCAUUUGUUUACCUGGGAGUUUGUCGCAUCCACACUCUGAGCUUUCCAAUCCAAAUUCCAUUCCACAAUGACAGAUUUAUUUUAAAAAAUCACUCCCAACACAUAUUUCCCUCACUUCUAUAUUCUCUCAGGCAUGGAUGUAUUCACUUGUUGGAGAAGCAUAGGCUUCAAAUGGGAGUCAUCCUGGACCUGCAGGAAGAAAAAGAUGAAUGAAAUAAUACUGUUUUCCUUCACUCUCCACUCUGUUUUCCUUCACUCUCAUGGUUGAUUUCAUGUACCUUCCUCUCAACACUGAGCACUUCAAUAAUACCACCACCAGGAGCCCUAGAGUGACUUUCAUCUAAGCACAGUUCACUUUAUCAUAUAAAUCACAUUCAGAAUGCACAGGAAAGCAGUGUUUAGUAAUGCCAACCCUUGCAUUUCAAGCCUUGAUAGUCAGACCUCACCACCAUCACUCUCCCACGAUUCUCAAAAUCAGAAGAGUUCUUAAAUUUAUGUUAAGCCAAUUUAUCAUAGAUUUCAUAGACAUUAGGGCUGGA
Molecule: long non-coding RNA, 3336 nt
Organism: Alligator mississippiensis (American alligator)
Lineage: Eukaryota; Metazoa; Chordata; Crocodylia; Alligatoridae
Exons: 3
Source: RefSeq, a predicted model, not a curated record